Molecule: ribosomal RNA, 728 nt
Filed under: Plasmodium ovale (malaria parasite P. ovale)
Lineage: Eukaryota; Apicomplexa; Aconoidasida; Haemosporida; Plasmodiidae
Description: SSU rRNA
Rfam family: Eukaryotic small subunit ribosomal RNA
Source: RNAcentral
AUUCCCGCGUAUGUACUUGUUAAGCCUUUAAGAAAGAAGUUUAUAACUUAAGGAAUUAUAACAAAGAAGUAACACAUAAUAAGGUUGCCUUAUUUAGUGUGUAUCAAUCGAGUUUCUGACCUAUCAGCUUUUGAUGUUAGGGUAUUGGCCUAACAUGGCUAUGACGGGUAACGGGGAAUUAGAGUUCGAUUCCGGAGAGGGAGCCUGAGAAAUAGCUACCACAUCUAAGGAAGGCAGCAGGCGCGUAAAUUACCCAAUUCUAAAGAAGAGAGGUAGUGACAAGAAAUAACAAUACAAGGCCAUUUCAUGGUUUUGUAAUUGGAAUGAUGGGAAUUUAAAACCUUCCCAAAAUUCAAUUGGAGGGCAAGUCUGGUGCCAGCAGCCGCGGUAAUUCCAGCUCCAAUAGCGUAUAUUAAAAUUGUUGCAGUUAAAACGCUCGUAGUUGAAUUUCAAAGAAUCAAUAUUUUAAGUAAUACUUUUGCUAUAAGAUGCUUAGACAAUACAACGUAUCUGUUCUUUGCAUUCCUUAUGCAAAAUGUGUUCUUAUUAUAAAAAGGAUUCUUUUUAAAAUCUCUUUUGCUAUUUUUUAGUAUUGGAGAUUUUGUUACUUUGAGUAAAUUAGAGUGUUCAAAGCAAACAGUUAAAGCAUUUUACUGCGUUUGAAUACUACAGCAUGGAAUAACAAAAUUGAACAAGUCAGAAUUCUGUUCUUUUUUCUUAAUUUGGCU